This 354-nucleotide long non-coding RNA is filed under the name Brassica napus (rape). RNAcentral's name for it is "long non-coding RNA (BNAP_LNC007529)". Lineage: Eukaryota; Viridiplantae; Streptophyta; Magnoliopsida; Brassicales; Brassicaceae. The record is from RNAcentral.
GAGGGAGAAGAUGUGAGUAGUAAGGAAGAGAUAACUCAAGGUACAGAAAAUGUUGAGAAGGAGAAAGAAUGGUCAGAUGUUUCACCGGGGAAAUCUAGCCGCUCUUCUAAUUCAAGUCAAAAGGAAUUGGAGUCUAUUUUUACGAAAUCAAGAUUUGAUGUGUUAACACCGAAGGAGGGUAAAGAAGUGACAGUUUAUGAGAAAGAGGAGCAAGAAGAAGAUGAUCAACAUGACAAAUUGCAAGACAAAGAAGUUAUUCAUAGGAGAGUAUUACCUCGAGAAUUUAAGAUUAAUCAUAGAUAUCUCAUAGCUAAAGCAUGAGGUUAGACAGCUCAGGAUGUUGAUUCUAGCUAU